GCACUAGUAGCUCAGACUCAGAGCGCCGGUCUUGUAAGCCGGAUGCCAGGGGUUAGAACCCCCUCUAAUGCU
Molecule: transfer RNA, 72 nt
Filed under: Triacanthodes anomalus (red spikefish)
Lineage: Eukaryota; Metazoa; Chordata; Actinopteri; Tetraodontiformes; Triacanthodidae
Description: tRNA-Thr
Rfam family: tRNA
About the family: Transfer RNA (tRNA) molecules are approximately 80 nucleotides in length. Their secondary structure includes four short double-helical elements and three loops (D, anti-codon, and T loops).
Source: RNAcentral